RNAcentral lists this long non-coding RNA (273 nucleotides) under Mytilus galloprovincialis (Mediterranean mussel). The record is from RNAcentral. Lineage: Eukaryota; Metazoa; Mollusca; Bivalvia; Mytilida; Mytilidae.
AUACUUGUUAUGUACAAGUGUCUUGUCCGUAGACACUUCCUCAUCUGCUGUUAAUACUGAAAUGCAAAAGAUAAAGUUAAAGAGAGAGAAAUACUUUUUCUUCAUUUGAUUUAGUUAAUCUUUUAAGGUAUGCAGCAACUGGAAUAAACAAUAUUGAAGUAAAAUAAGGUAUGCUUUUUAUGACUGAUAAUCUGACACUUUUUAAAAUCCACUCCUGUAAAGUAAUUUUACAAAAAUUGAGAACACUUAAAUUACCAUUUAUUUAUUAAAAAU